This 282-nucleotide long non-coding RNA is filed under the name Actinidia chinensis (golden kiwifruit). RNAcentral's name for it is "long non-coding RNA (ACHI_LNC000056)". Lineage: Eukaryota; Viridiplantae; Streptophyta; Magnoliopsida; Ericales; Actinidiaceae. The record is from RNAcentral.
AAGAAUCUUGAUAUCAUCCUUGUUGUCCAAUGUCCAUCACAAUCUUGAUUUGAAAUCCAACGGUUGAUAUUGUCCCCUUUGUUGGGCCCAACUCAACCUUUAUACAUAUUACUGCACCCCCAACCGCACAGAUCUACAAUUGCCCUCCUUUAUGGUGUAUAUAGAAAUCUAUACGUAUGCUACAACAACGGGAGCAGCAUCGAAUUUUACAGACGACGACUUAAAUUUAAAAAAGAAAAAGAAAUUUAAAGUGGGAUAAACAAAAUGAUAAAUACCCAUGGG